Molecule: long non-coding RNA, 640 nt
Organism: Enhydra lutris kenyoni (northern sea otter)
Lineage: Eukaryota; Metazoa; Chordata; Mammalia; Carnivora; Mustelidae
Exons: 2
Source: RefSeq, a predicted model, not a curated record
AUGCUCCGAAUCUGCUUAAGAUUCUCUUUCUCUGUCUCUACCCCAGCCUCCCACCACCUGCACUCACAGGCAUGGUGCUCUCUCCGGUAGGAGGGGGCGGGGAGAAAAGGUUAUAAAAACAAAUUCGCAUUGGGCCCUGCAGCACUGGAAGACACUUAUAAAACACUGGUUUGUAGAAGGUUGCUCGUAUUAAAUCAUCAUUCUUUACCUCUAUCCCUUUCAGGUUCGAUUUGCCGCUCUGAUUACCGUGUUAGCGCUGGCUGAGAAACUAAAGGAGAAUUAUAUUGUCUUGCUACCAGAGUCCAUUCCUUUCUUAGCUGAAUUGAUGGAAGAUGAAUGUGAAGAAGUAGAACAUCAGUGCCAAAAGACUAUUCAGCAACUGGAAGCUAUACUGGGAGAGCCGCUCCAGAGCUACUUCUAAACCUUGGGCUUUUGGUGUUUCUUCUUUCUUCCUCUGUGCAGAGGUCAGAUUUAUUUUUCAUAUUUUUAUUUUUGGGUGUUUGGUACCAUAUUACCUUUUGGUACCCUGACCCCUAUGCGGACUCCUUUAUAAAAUUCCUGCCUAGUUUGUGCUCCUGUAGAGCCUCUCCCACCCCCUGUACAGAAUGGCCGUGAGAGUAAAUGGUACCCGGUGUUUGUA